CACUCCCAUUAUUAAUUAAUUAUUAUUGUGUUCUUUUUUUUUUAAUUUAAAAAGUUUGAAAGUAAUUCCAGUUCUCAACCAACGUAGGUUGGUAACAUUACAUUCAACUGACGGUUCAUGCGGCUCACUACUAUGCGCGUCCACCGUUCUAUUAUGAUUCUCGUUUCUCCGGGCGCAGCGUUGCCACGAGUUACACCAUCCAGUUUGUUGGGGGUCCUUCGUCCUCAUUCCCCCAGUGAAUACAUGAGCGUUCUUCUUAUCAGUUAUCACUAUUACAUUGUUGAUUGUGUGUUCCAUUUUUUUUUUUUACUGUUUACCUUCAUAUCUCGGGAAAACUAAAUCGCAUGUAUCCGCACAUGCCGAAAAUUAAUAUGAAUUUCAUUAAAAUGUACCCACUCAAAUCGAUUUCCUUUCUGAAAGUGACUCAAGAUUUAAAACUGAUCUGAACUGCAUCCAGGAAAUUGUGUAUCAGAAAAAAUGCUCAUGGGACCACGGUGGCUAUCCAAAAAAAAUAAAAUAAAAUAUACGUACGUCGUACAUUGAAGAGAAUAACCGCAACAAAUAUGCAGCUAUCGGUUCAUAAAUAAACACCGGCUGCAUUUUGGUAUUUUUUCAGUUUUAUGACAAUUUUCUCAAAACUGGAAAAACUAAAAACUUGCUGAAGACUGGAGAAGACUGAAGAGUGCAACAUAGCACCAUAAAUAAAUAAAUAGAAAUUAAGGAUUGUAACAUUAUAUAUUUUGUUUAUUUUAAAUUGUAAGUAUAAGUUUAUAUGCAAUAAUAAUUUUUAAAUUAAUUUUAAUUGUGUGUUUUCGACGAUUUUCAAUUCGAUUUCGAAUUGGUAAAAUAAUACCAAAUAUUAUUAUGAAUAUUUUCAUUUCCAUUAUCGAAUGAUAAAUUUAAUAGAUUAUGUAUUCAUUUUUAAUUAGCCUGAAAUACUUUGAUUUAGGUAAUUGUUAAAAUUUAAAUAGGUAUGUAUGUACUUAGUUGAUCGACUGCAAGACAAUGAACCAAGACAAUUGAAUCAAAUUCUUAAAUUUUUCAUGAGAAAAUAGCAAUUUUUUGAGUUUUUAAACACUGUAAAAAAAUUGGAAAAUGAAAUUCAAAUUCUGAAAUUUGACUUGGCGAGAUAUUUUGGAUGUAUGCACUUUGAAUUUGUCCUCCUUUAGUAUUAAAAAAAAAAAAAAAAAAAAAAAAAA
Planococcus citri (citrus mealybug) is the source of this 1199-nucleotide long non-coding RNA. RefSeq lists it as uncharacterized. The transcript is spliced from 2 exons. The record is from RefSeq and is a predicted model, not a curated record. Lineage: Eukaryota; Metazoa; Arthropoda; Insecta; Hemiptera; Pseudococcidae.